This is an RNA transcript of Ananas comosus (pineapple), 1759 nucleotides long. It is a transcript of the gene named F-box protein At5g46170-like, with no coding region annotated. The transcript has 3 exons. NCBI's taxonomy places the organism in Eukaryota, Viridiplantae, Streptophyta, Magnoliopsida, Poales, Bromeliaceae. The record is from RefSeq and is a predicted model, not a curated record.
AGAGAGAAAGAGAGAGAGAGAGAGAGACUACUACCCAUUCCGCUUUAAAAAUCGUGUUGCAGUAGCAGCUCUUCGCGAUUCGCUCCCCCUCUCCUUUCUUCUUCCUCUUCUCGUUAGGGUUAGGUUUAGGGUUUCGACCGCUCGCGCUUUCCUCCUAUCCCCACCUCCUCCAUGGCCGCGCUCUAGUGCUGCUUCCUACCCCCCACUCGACCCCGAUGUCGUCCUCCUCCUGCGGCAGCGGCGGCGGCGGCGGCGGAGGUGAGCCGAGCGAUCACGCGGCGGCGGAGGGGGUCGACCACUUCGAUCGCCUCCCCGACGCGAUCAUCCUCGUCGUCCUCAACUGGAUCGGCGACGUCAAGGCCCUCGGCCGCUGCUCCCUCGUCUCCCGCCGCUUCCGCUUCCUCGUCCCCUUCGUCGACCGCGUCGUCGACAGGCCCCGCGGCGUCCUCUCCCACCUCUCCCGCUUCUUCUUCGCUGGCCUCGUCAAGCCCUUCCAAGCCCUGGGCCAGAUCUUCUCCCCCGCCUCCGGGCACCGGAGGUCCUCCUCCUCCUCCUCUUCCUCCGCCGCCGCCGCUGCCGAGUCCGGGGUCUCCCACCGGUCCCCCACGGAGGUGUUGAAGAGCUUCAAGGUGAUCCGCCACCUCGGGAUCGAGCUCCCCGCGGGGGAGCUCACCGUCGACGACGGCCUCCUCAUCAAGUGGAAGGCCGGGUUCGGCUCCACCCUCGACAGCUGCGUCAUCCUCUGCGCCUCCUCCGUCUCCCCCAACUCCUCAAACCCUAACCCUAGGCCCAAUUCCCACGACCCCUCCCUCCCCGACGACGACAGCAGCGUCAGCAUCCCGGAUUCCUUCUACUCCAGCGGAAAACUGAAGCUCCGCGUCGUCUGGACCAUCAGCGCUCUCAUCGCCGCAUCGGCGCGGCAUUACCUCCUCCACCCGAUCAUCGCCGAGCACGCGACGCUGCAGAGCCUGAACCUGACGGAUUCCGACGGGCAGGGGGAGCUGACCAUGGACGCGCGGCAGCUGCAGGAGCUCCGGGUGACGCCGGCGUGCGCGCCCGGGAACUCGCAGCGCACCCUCGUGCCGGCCCUCAGCAUGCUGCUGUGGUACGCCCCUCUGCUGGAGCUGCCGGCAGGGCUCGUGCUCAAAGGGGCGACAUUGGUGGCCGUCCGACCGAACGAGGAGAAGGGCAACGCCGGUUUGGGCUCUGCCGACGUGCACGGCUGGGUGUCAAAUGCAUUCGAGGAGCCGUAUGGGAUGGCCGCGAGGAUGCUGGUGAACAGGCGGACUUACUGUCUCGAAAUGAACUCCUUCUGAUUCUCCAAAAGACGCGCCUGGAUCGAUCCCUACCGCUGAAUGCCAUUAUAACUGGAAUGUAGCGGGCAUAGGAUGUGAAGCAUUUGAUUAAUAUGGGAUCUAGCGGCACUAGGUGUUGGCUUAAAGGGGCCAGCAUUCUGCCCUAUGACGGGAGGCUAGAUUGGACCGAGUCUCAUUCGAAAUGACGUGAGGCUAGGUGGGCCGAGUCAUGUUUGAAAUGGCGUGAGGCUAGUAGGGUCAAAUCACAAUCGAGAUCCGUGGGUGCUGUAUCUGUGCACUGGAAAAAUGCAUCCGGCAAUAAACCUCAUAAGCGCAGGCAAGACGGUUCAUUAUUGUAGCAGAAAGUGCCGCGACAUGUCAAUAUCGAACUACGGUGGCCUCGUGUGAUUUACGGAGCAAGGAAGCCAUCCCGUAUGUAGCACCAGUUCUCAUUUACGGAGAUU